UACGUAGGGUGCGAGCGUUGUCCGGAAUUAUUGGGCGUAAAGAGCUCGUAGGCGGUUUGUCGCGUCGGCCGUGAAAACUUGGGGCUUAACUCCAAGCUUGCGGUCGAUACGGGCAGGCUAGAGUUCGGUAGGGGAGACUGGAAUUCCUGGUGUAGCGGUGAAAUGCGCAGAUAUCAGGAGGAACACCGGUGGCGAAGGCGGGUCUCUGGGCCGAUACUGACGCUGAGGAGCGAAAGCGUGGGGAGCGAACAGG
Molecule: ribosomal RNA, 253 nt
Filed under: uncultured bacterium
Lineage: Bacteria
Description: partial 16S ribosomal RNA
Rfam family: Bacterial small subunit ribosomal RNA
Source: RNAcentral